This 440-nucleotide ribosomal RNA is filed under the name Bacillus sp. (in: firmicutes). RNAcentral's name for it is "bacterial SSU rRNA". It matches the Rfam family "Bacterial small subunit ribosomal RNA", at positions 153 to 579 of the family's 1533-position model. Lineage: Bacteria; Bacillati; Bacillota; Bacilli; Caryophanales; Bacillaceae. The record is from RNAcentral.
GAAACCGAAGCUAAUACCGGAUAGGAUCUUCUCCUUCAUGGGAGAUGAUUGAAAGAUGGUUUCGGCUAUCACUUACAGAUGGGCCCGCGGUGCAUUAGCUAGUUGGUGAGGUAACGGCUCACCAAGGCAACGAUGCAUAGCCGACCUGAGAGGGUGAUCGGCCACACUGGGACUGAGACACGGCCCAGACUCCUACGGGAGGCAGCAGUAGGGAAUCUUCCGCAAUGGACGAAAGUCUGACGGAGCAACGCCGCGUGAGUGAUGAAGGCUUUCGGGUCGUAAAACUCUGUUGUUAGGGAAGAACAAGUACGAGAGUAACUGCUCGUACCUUGACGGUACCUAACCAGAAAGCCACGGCUAACUACGUGCCAGCAGCCGCGGUAAUACGUAGGUGGCAAGCGUUAUCCGGAAUUAUUGGGCGUAAAGCGCGCGCAGGCGGU